GCUACUUACCAGCAGCACUCUGGUCUGAAGGGCCCGGGGUUCGGCCUCUGGACAUGACAGCCUGUGAGGAAGUGAAACAGACUAAGCAUAGAGAUGAAAAAAAGACAACUCUUAGUAGAGCUGUUCCCCAGGCCGGGCUACUUUGCAGAGGAGAGCUCAGGCCCAGGAGCUGUAAAGCCCAUGUUACCUGUGUUGGCGGGAUCAAGGGCAGCACAAAGACGUGGUCCUCUGGCAAUGCCUGAGGACUUCUCAUUCCUGGCCCUGCCUCCGUCUCCACAUGGGAGAAAGCGUGUUGUACAGCAGAACUAGAAGGAAGCGCUCACCUUCCAGAACCACUAAGUGCUCUAUUAUUCAUGCGCCACAUCAGCCUGGAGAGACACAAAAAGCUGUCCUAUAUCUUGGGUGAAAUACUAUCGUUACCGAGACAGAAUCAGGGGACUUGGUUUCACAGUGUAUGAAAAAGUGUAGAAAUAGAAAUAGAAACCCCUGAACAAAUGAUUUCAUCUCAAAAUAAAUUUCAUAUACUCCUCCUCCUCCAAAUAAAUAAUAAUAAUAACAUAAUCAAAAUACAACCAAUGUUACACAUGAGAAAGAUGGCGUUAUUCUUAUGCAUGUCUCAUUGGUAAGAUUUGCUGUAGUUUCACAGAAAAGAACUUUAAUAUAAAAUCCUUCUGAUAGCAUAUUAGGUUUUUAAAUACCAUACAAAAUUUAGCAUUUGAGUAUGCUCAUAUGUGUUAAAAAUAAGUUCACUUGACUCAGAAGUCAUUUACUUAUGUGUAAUGCAUGGGAAAGAGCUUAAUGAUGGUAACAGGGCUGCUGUUUUCAACAGCUGUGACAACAGAGUCAUAAGCUGAUUUUAUUUGGUCUGUGUGACCAUCUAGAUGUAGAAAGAUUCCACCCCAACUUGGGGAAAAUUGUAUGGCUGGCUAUUCAAAAUGAAGGGAAACACAUUUUUUUUUAAAAGGAUGUUAAUAAUAGUGCAAAUGCCUUUUCUAUCUGAAUUUUGAAAAGCAGAAUAAAAAUGAAACUCACUAGAGGUAUUUGUGGAAAAUUUAGAUGUUAAAAACCUGACUUAAUUGACUGAAAAACAAAGACUGCUGAAGUGACUAUGACUCAAGUUGGGGGUUAUUUUAAUUAAGAAAGAGCUAGCAGUCCUAAUGAUUUGAAGGAAACCAUGUAAUUCUCUGCCCUUGAACGGGGCUAAUAUGGCUAACUGCCAACAGUUGUGCCUUACUGCAAAUGGGCAUUUUAAGCUAUACUUCACCACAAGGAUUGUAAGGCUCAAUUGAGUCUAUCGCAGUUUGGUUGUAUUUUUCUUGGUUGCCAAAGAAGCCGAUCACAGAGUCCUCAAAUCAGUAGUUAGAGGUCAAUUUGAUAUGAAUGCUAAAAUUAUCUGGGCUAACCGUAUUGCAUCCCAAUUAUUUUGAUAAUUGGACUUGGGUGGAUUUUGUGUUGAUAGAAACAACUGUGCUCCAAUUACCCUGAAAAUCGUUGAUCUCAGAAGCUGUACAGACAUGUGUAUUCUCGUCUUGCUAAUCACACUAAAGGAUCAAGAGAAUUACUGAGUUGGAGCUUGUCAACUCCAAGGUUCUGAAUGAUACAGCUGUCUUUUUCUCUAGAUUCCCAACUCUCAGCCGAAAAAUCAAUUAAACAUAUUUCCUAGAAAACUGUUCUGGGGAGUUCCCAUCAUGGCUCAGCAGUAA
Molecule: long non-coding RNA, 1703 nt
Organism: Sus scrofa (pig)
Lineage: Eukaryota; Metazoa; Chordata; Mammalia; Artiodactyla; Suidae
Source: RefSeq, a predicted model, not a curated record